UCUAAAAUCCUUUGUUUGUUUCAAUAAUAAGAAAAUAAGGAAUGUAAUUUGAUUCCUAAAAUUAGGAAAAGUUAGUGGAAAUUUUGGGAUUCUGAUUCCCUAAAGCUGUUAUUCUUUUUCCCUGAUUUGAUGAUUUUAAAAGAUACGGACAAAAUACACAAAAAAUAUGUUCUCUCUAACUUCUACACGUUUAAUUCUUCCGAUUUCUCUUCUCCAAAUCAAAUCUGGCGAUUCUUUUACUCCAUAUUUUUGCUUAAUUAUCUUCUUUAUAUCUCAUCUCUGCCAAUUUCUCUUCUCAUAUCUCACUACCGAGUUCUCUUCUUCAUUUCGAUCUUUCAAUUUCGUGAUUAACUCCAUUAAAAGAAAGAUAACUCAGAUAGAGCUGUUGUACCAAAUUUCGAAGCUCCGAUAGAUAUGGUCGAGGACUUAGAUAGAGAGCAAAAUAUCGAUCAAGUAGAUGAAGAAUUUGGUGAAGAUGGUGUACCUUCAAUAGUUACAUCUCGGAGUGAAGGAACUUCAAAAGUACAAGAGCGUAAAAGGAUGAUGAGAAGUACAGAUGGUUUGAUAUCAAGUUUGGAGCGCAUGACUAAUAGAAUUAAUAGGAUGAAAUUAGUAUUUUUUUUGCCAUUCUUAACUUUUAUAUAUUUUGUUAUGGAAUGUUUAAGAAUCAUUCAUUGCUUAUUUUCAUAUCUAUUCUAAUAUUUGAUAUUA
Molecule: long non-coding RNA, 711 nt
Organism: Salvia splendens (bonfire salvia)
Lineage: Eukaryota; Viridiplantae; Streptophyta; Magnoliopsida; Lamiales; Lamiaceae
Exons: 2
Source: RefSeq, a predicted model, not a curated record